This 548-nucleotide long non-coding RNA is filed under the name Fukomys damarensis (Damara mole-rat). RNAcentral describes it as "lncRNA (ENSFDAG00000027710.1)". The record is from RNAcentral. Lineage: Eukaryota; Metazoa; Chordata; Mammalia; Rodentia; Bathyergidae.
AAGAAAUUGGAAUCUUCUCCAGAGAUUAUCAUCAAUUACAUCUGCAUAACUAUGCCACAAAAUUCCAAUGGCUAACAUACCUACAUGGAAAAAUGUUUGUGAAAAUAGCAGCUCUUCAAAAUGCAGCAACGUUAAGUAUCUUCACGGGAUUGAGCCAAGCCCUCCACCUAAGACCAAUCAGGGGAUUGGUUCUAUUGCUGUGUUCUGUUCUUCUGGAACCUCAUGAGAUCAAGUGAAGCCCUGCCCCUGAUACCAACCUUCUGGCAUGCGCUGAAGUGGGAGCCCUCCAACUGGUACUAAUCAAGUGACAGAGUGAGGAUGUAGCUCGGUAGACAGAAUGAAAGCACAACCUGGGAUGUAGCCGAGUGGAGCCAGUCCCUGCCUGGUAAGUACGAGGUUCUAAGCUCGAUCCUCUCCUCUCUCCCUCUCCAGGUUCUAAGUUUGAUUCUCAGAUGGAGCAGUGGCGCUGGGACUGAGGGGGGACAAACAGACAUGUGGUGAUAAACACUGACUCCCCAAUUUGGUGUACACGGUAGAUGAGAGUUAGG